This 1283-nucleotide ribosomal RNA is filed under the name Orthetrum triangulare. Its description in RNAcentral is "16S ribosomal RNA". The stretch from base 819 to 1180 matches the Rfam family "Archaeal large subunit ribosomal RNA", at positions 2150 to 2716 of the family's 2987-position model. Lineage: Eukaryota; Metazoa; Arthropoda; Insecta; Odonata; Libellulidae. The record is from RNAcentral.
CGAGAAAAAUCUUUAUGUUUAGUAUAAUUAAAGAAAAACUUUUAUUGUUAUAGUGAAUUAGUACUGUGAAGGAAUUGAUGAAAUAAUUUAAAAUUUAUUUUUUUAUAAGUAUGAUUAAUUUUCAGUACCUUUUGUAUCAGGGUUAAUCAAUUAAAUUAACUUAUUUUUUUAUCUCGAUUUCAAAAGAGCUAACUUGUUAUUUUAGUUAAUGUUGAAUAAUUAUUAAUAAUAUGAGUUAGAGGAGAAAUUUUAUUCGAUUUUGAGGGUAUCUAGUUUUUUAGGAAAUAAAUUUAAUUUAAUUUCAUUAUUUAAUUUUUAUAUUAUUAUAUAAAUUAUUUAUUGAAAUAAAAAUUGUAGGGGAUAAGCUCUAUAUUUUUCUAUAAAAUUUUUAAUUAAUUAAUUUUUGUAGGGUUAAAAUUAUCCAUCAUUAGAGAGUGUGUUAUAAUUUAUAUUUAUUAUUAAUUAAUUUUAUUUUUUUUAGAAUUUUAUUAAAAUAUUGAAGUAAAUUUUUUACUUUAAUUAAUAAUGAUUAAAUUAGUAUAAAAUAUUGUUUAUUAUAUUAUAAACAUCUAUGAUAAAAUAAGGAACUCGGCAAAUAUAGUUCUCGCCUGUUUACCAAAAACAUGGCCUUUUGAAUUUAAUAUAAGGUCUGACCUGCCCAGUGAUAGUUUUAACGGCCGCGGUAUACUGACCGUGCAAAGGUAGCAUAAUCAUUAGUCUUUUAAUAGAGGGCUGGAAUGAAAGGUUUCACGAGGAACUGACUGUCUCAUUUUAUUUGUUUUAAAAUUUAAUUUUUUAGUUAAAAAGCUAAAAUUUUAUUGGUAGACGAGAAGACCCUAUAGAGCUUUACAUAUAAUUAAAUAAAUAUUUUUAUAUUAAUAUUUUUAUUUAUUUUUGUGUUUUGUUGGGGUGACAAAAAUAUAUAGCUAACUUUUUUAUUUACUUUACAUUGAUUUAUGAAUAUUAGAUCCAAUACUAUUGAUUAUUAGACUAAGUUACCUUAGGGAUAACAGCGUAAUCCUCCUCCAGAGUUCAUAUUUACAGGAUGGGCUUGCGACCUCGAUGUUGGAUUAAGAUAAUAAUUAGGUGUAGCCGCUUAAUUGAUAGGUCUGUUCGACCUUUAAAUUCUUACAUGAUCUGAGUUCAGACCGGUUUAAGCCAGGUCGGUUUCUAUCUCCAAUUUUAAUUAGUUUUUAGUACGAAAGGACCAAAACUGUGAAAUAAUUUUUAUUUGUUGAUUAAUAUUAACUAUUUUGGCAGAGAAGUGCCAUGAAUUUAGAAUU